CCUACGGGAGGCAGCAGUGGGGAAUUUUGGACAAUGGGGGCAACCCUGAUCCAGCAAUGCCGCGUGAGUGAAGAAGGCCUUCGGGUUGUAAAGCUCUUUUGUCAGGGAAGAAAAGGACUGGGUUAAUACCCUGGUUUUAUGACGGUACCUGAAGAAUAAGCACCGGCUAACUACGUGCCA
This 180-nucleotide ribosomal RNA is filed under the name uncultured bacterium. RNAcentral's name for it is "partial 16S ribosomal RNA". It matches the Rfam family "Bacterial small subunit ribosomal RNA", at positions 338 to 510 of the family's 1533-position model. The record is from RNAcentral.